RNAcentral lists this ribosomal RNA (514 nucleotides) under uncultured bacterium. RNAcentral describes it as "bacterial SSU rRNA". It matches the Rfam family "Bacterial small subunit ribosomal RNA", at positions 15 to 518 of the family's 1533-position model. The record is from RNAcentral.
GAUUAUGGCUCAGGAUGAAUAGCUAGCGACAGGCUUAACACAUGCAAGUCGAGGGGCAUCACGGGAGUAGCAAUACAACUGGUGGCGACCGGCGCACGGGUGAGUAACGCGUAUGCAACCUACCUAUCAGAGGGGGAAUAACCCGGCGAAAGUCGGACUAAUACCGCAUAAAACAGGGGCACCGCAUGGUGAUAUUUGUUAAGAAAUUCGCUGAUAGAUGGGCAUGCGUUCCAUUAGGUAGUUGGUGAGGUAACGGCUCACCAAGCCGACGAUGGAUAGGGGAACUGAGAGGUUGGUCCCCCACACUGGUACUGAGACACGGACCAGACUCCUACGGGAGGCAGCAGUGAGGAAUAUUGGUCAAUGGGCGGGAGCCUGAACCAGCCAAGUCGCGUGAAGGAAGAAGGAUCUAUGGUUCGUAAACUUCUUUUGCGAGGGGAAUAAAGUGCAGGACGUGUCCUGUUUUGUAUGUACCCUGAGAAUAAGGAUCGGCUAACUCCGUGCCAGCCGCCGC